AUGAUCUCAUGGUCAUGGGAACAUAUAUUUGACAUGCAGAAAAAUAGUACUUCCCACUAUGACCAGCCCCAGCAGCGCUAGAAAAAAUAAAAAAAAAAACAGAAAAAGCAAAGUCGUCUUGGUUUCGCUGCUUUGGCUGAAGCUCAUAAAACCUACAUGAUCCCCCAAGAGAAAUCACGUGACCCCAAUAGUGUAGGGUACGUGCUAGCUCACAAAAAAUGAUGUAGGAUUUUAUGGAUGUACUAGUCAAAGCGGCAUGCAGCAGCGGUCAAAGCGGUGCGGCAGUAGUCAAAGCGGGGCAGCGUGGAGUGACAUGCAACAGAAUGUUAGCUGUGCGUCUUGAUUGUCAAUGAACGCAAAGCGGUGAGAUAGAGGGCAGCAACGAAAGGGAAAGAUACAUCCAGAUAUAAGCCUCAUUUUCUCACCAGCGCUAAAAGAAAAGUAAAAAAAGAAAAAGAAAAAGCAAAGCCUUGGGGCUUGGUAUUCUUUAGUAUGUUCAUUCCCGGCGAUGACUUCGAAUGCUGCUUGUUUUGUACUCCUGUAUGAAGUUUCUUGUGACGACUAAUCAAGGAUCCAAAGCUUCGCGCGGCCUGAUUACUGAUUACACACACAUUCUUCACGCUCAGGCCAUCCCAAGUAUGGAGCGGUUCCGUGGGCUGGGGGCGUGCGCUGCGAAGUCCGUAGAGCGGUUCCUUGGGCUGGGCACGACGCCUCCAUGGCUCGCGAGGUUCCGGGGGCUGGGCGCCACCGGCGCGUNNNNN
Molecule: long non-coding RNA, 761 nt
Filed under: Hordeum vulgare
Lineage: Eukaryota; Viridiplantae; Streptophyta; Magnoliopsida; Poales; Poaceae
Description: long non-coding RNA (HVUL_LNC019673)
Source: RNAcentral